RNAcentral lists this long non-coding RNA (1027 nucleotides) under Musa acuminata (dwarf banana). RNAcentral describes it as "long non-coding RNA (MACU_LNC000456)". Lineage: Eukaryota; Viridiplantae; Streptophyta; Magnoliopsida; Zingiberales; Musaceae. The record is from RNAcentral.
CACCAACAAGGGGGCGUGGACCAAGGAGGAGGACGACCAGCUCAUCGCCUACAUCCGCGCUCACGGGGAGGGGUGCUGGCGCUCGCUGCCCAAGGCCGCCGGCCUCCUCCGCUGCGGCAAGAGCUGCCGACUCCGCUGGAUCAACUACCUCCGCCCCGACCUCAAGCGCGGCAACUUCACGGAGGAGGAGGACGAGCUCAUCAUCAAGCUCCACAGCCUCCUCGGCAACAAGUAAGCCUCCUCCCGCCACGUCCACCACGCGAGAAUACCACCUGAACGCCUUCCUCGUGUCGACUGCAGGUGGUCACUGAUCGCUGCGCGGCUUCCCGGGAGGACGGACAACGAGAUCAAGAACUACUGGAACACCCACAUCAGGAGGAAGCUGCUGAGCAGGGGAGUGGAUCCCGUCACUCACCGCCCGAUCAACGGCCAUGGUUCCGAUACAGCCACCCAUUUCGAGAGGAAGCCUGCUGCGAUUGGCUUCGGACCAGACCAGGAGUCGGACAAGAUCAGUAGCAGCGAGGAGUCGUCGGCGUGGCAGCAGCGGCAGCCCAAGUGGCCGGACCUCAAUCUGGAGCUAUGUAUAAGCCCUCCUUCCCAACAGCAACAACCUUUAGAGCCCGUUGAUGGAGGGGGAGAGCAACCGCAAAGCCUGUGCUUUAGCUGCGGCGCUGCCGUGGGGUCGCAGAAGCGCCACAAGGAGUGCAAGUGCAGAGACCUCAUUGGCCUCAGCACUGGAAUGCUGGACUACAGAAACCCAUAGAACUCCCAGAGAAGAGAAUGUACUCAAAGAAUCCUCCAUUUCUUGGUGUGUGUGUGUGUGUGUGUGUCUGCGCGCGCGCAUGUAUAUCUACAGGUAUACUAGGCAGGUUUCUACCAUGGUGGCAUUGUCGUGGAUGCCUGUCAUCUCUUUGUCGAUGAAUGAAGCUAUUAUAUAUUGGCAUCUCAACUCUUGUUUUAGGCUCUUUCCAAAGAUCCUACCUUUCGUUUCUUGAGAUAUGAGAUCAACAAGCGUAUAAAGUAGGAU